RNAcentral lists this ribosomal RNA (490 nucleotides) under uncultured bacterium. Its description in RNAcentral is "partial 16S ribosomal RNA". It matches the Rfam family "Bacterial small subunit ribosomal RNA", at positions 30 to 507 of the family's 1533-position model. The record is from RNAcentral.
AUUGAACGCUGGCGGCAGGCCUAACACAUGCAAGUCGAACGGUAACAGGAAGAAGCUUGCUUCUUUGCUGACGAGUGGCGGACGGGUGAGUAAUGUCUGGGAAACUGCCUGAUGGAGGGGGAUAACUACUGGAAACGGUAGCUAAUACCGCAUAACGUCGCAAGACCAAAGAGGGGGACCUUCGGGCCUCUUGCCAUCGGAUGUGCCCAGAUGGGAUUAGCUAGUAGGUGGGGUAACGGCUCACCUAGGCGACGAUCCCUAGCUGGUCUGAGAGGAUGACCAGCAACCUGGGAACUGGGACACGGACCAGACUACUAAGGGAGGCAGCAGUGGGGAAUAUUGGACAAUGGGCGGAAGCCUGAUGCAGCCAUGCGGCGUGUAUGAAGAAGGCCUUCGGGUUGUAAAGUACUUUCAGCGGGGAGGAAGGGAGUAAAGUUAAUACCUUUGCUCAUUGACGUUACCCGCAGAAGAAGCACCGGCUAACUACGUG